This 237-nucleotide long non-coding RNA is filed under the name Phoenix dactylifera (date palm). RNAcentral describes it as "long non-coding RNA (PDAC_LNC001300)". Lineage: Eukaryota; Viridiplantae; Streptophyta; Magnoliopsida; Arecales; Arecaceae. The record is from RNAcentral.
GUCAGAGUGGUGAGAGUGGCCCUAUUAGUUCAAUAUAUAAGAAAUAAAUUGAAAUACUAGGGCACAUUCACCACAGGCAAGAGGGUGAAAAAGAUCACUAAAUAUCCAUAAACUCAGUGCGCAUGGUUUAUUCAAGGACCUUGCGAUGACAGGGAUUCCAAUGGUUAGAUUGUCUUGCAAAACAUCAUGAAAGCUCGUUGUGUACCAAUCUCCAUGAAGCUUUACGAGGAGUUCAUG